Molecule: ribosomal RNA, 450 nt
Filed under: uncultured bacterium
Lineage: Bacteria
Description: bacterial SSU rRNA
Rfam family: Bacterial small subunit ribosomal RNA
Source: RNAcentral
GUCGAGAAUCUUCCGCAAUGCGCGCAAGCGUGACGGAGCGACGCCGCGUGGGCGAUGAAGGCCUUCGGGUUGUAAAGCCCUGUUAGCUACGCUGAAUGGCGGGCGAUGAACAGUCGUCCCGCUUGACGUAAGUAGCAAAGAAAGCACCGGCUAACUACGUGCCAGCAGCCGCGGUAAUACGUAGGGUGCAAACGUUGUUCGGAAUCACUGGGCAUAAAGGGCGCGUAGGCGGUCCAGCCAGUCCGGUGUGAAAUCCCCCGGCUUAACCGGGGAACGGCAUCGGAUACUGCUGGGCUAGAGUGCAGGAGGGGAGAGCGGAAUUCCUGGUGGAGCGGUGAAAUGCGUAGAUAUCAGGAGGAACGCCGGUGGCGAAAGCGGCUCUCUGGCCUGUCACUGACGCUGAGGCGCGAAAGCUAGGGGAGCAAACGGGAUUAGAAACCCUUGUAGUCC